RNAcentral lists this ribosomal RNA (283 nucleotides) under uncultured bacterium. RNAcentral describes it as "partial 16S ribosomal RNA". It matches the Rfam family "Bacterial small subunit ribosomal RNA", at positions 773 to 1060 of the family's 1533-position model. The record is from RNAcentral.
GUGGAUUAGAUACCCUGGUAGUCCGCACUGUAAACGAUGAUUACUCGCUGCUGGAGGGCAACUUUCAGUGGCUUAGCGAAAGCGAUAAGUAAUCCACCUGGGGAGUACGCCGGCAACGGUGAAACUCAAAGGAAUUGACGGGGGCCCGCACAAGCGGAGGAGCAUGUGGUUUAAUUCGAUGAUACGCGAGGAACCUUACCAGGGCUUGAAAGUUAAGGAAUGAUUAUGAAAGUAGUCAGUCAGCAAUGACCUAAAACUAGGUGCUGCAUGGUCGUCGUCAGCU